Long non-coding RNA from Glycine soja, 666 nucleotides. RefSeq lists it as uncharacterized. The record is from RefSeq and is a predicted model, not a curated record. The transcript has 3 exons. NCBI's taxonomy places the organism in Eukaryota, Viridiplantae, Streptophyta, Magnoliopsida, Fabales, Fabaceae.
UUCCAUAAUUGUUCUUCUGCAUUAAAAAGUACUCCUUUAAAGAAAACCCCCCCGCAAAACCCAUUCCUCAACUCAACUGCGACUGGUGAAAGCCCUAUCUGUGUGGAAAUAGGGUAGCUGCAACCUGCAAUGGCUUCUCGUUAUAGAUCUGUUUCGCAACCAGCAUUCUCCAUAAUCAAAUCCACCAUCACCAAACCUUCCUCGAAGCUCCUCCCGUCGUCUUUUCUCCUCAAAACUCGUUCUCCCGUUACGGCCAGGUGGGUGGGCGGUGAGCUCGGUUGCCUGCAGUCGCUGCUUCCCCUGCACUCGGCGGUUUCAUCAGCGCGCCUCACCUCAUGUCUGGGCAUCGAUUCGAGUAGGUCGAGGUCGCUGUCUCAGGAAAUGGGUCUCAGCACACCGCGAUAAGAGAUUUUGAAGACCAUUCAUUGGCAGAUUAGAGUCUUUUUUGCUUUGCCGGGACGCUCUAAUGUUAAUUAUUUUCAAGUUUUUUCUUGACAGUUCACUGUAACGGGUAUAUAGUUGGGAGAAUCCUUUGAUCUUCUGGUGUCUGUUGCAAUGGUUCCUAUAAAAUGCUUGGUCAAUCCAGUAUUAAUUGUUUUAAAGAUCAACCUAUGCCAACAUCAUUUAGUGAAUAAAAAACAAAAAAAUUGCUGAUUGACCUCUCUA